CGCAUUACAUGGAUGCCUCGACUCUGUACUCCGAAGAAGGACGUGGCCAGCUGCGAUAAGCCUCGGUAAGCCGCUAGGCAGGCGCUAUAGCCGGGGAUUUCCGAAUGAGGAAACUCCAUCUCCGUUAUGGGAGAUGACCCUGAACCGUAAGGUACAGGGAGGUUACUCUGACAACUGAAACAUCUCAGUAGCAGAGGAAAAGAAAUCAAUAGAGAUUCCCAAAGUAGUGGCGAGCGAAAUGGGAACAGGCCAAACCCCACUGUUUUAUUGGUGGGGGGUUGUAGGGCCCCAAUAUCCGAUUGUUUCUGCAUAGACGAACGACCCUGGAACGGGCGGCCAAAGUGGGUGAGAGCCCCGUAGCCGAAAUGUAGAAAAAGCGAGUCUUAAAUAAGGCGUACAUAGUCGCUGGCACUAGACCCGAAACCGGGUGAGCUACCCAUGGGCAGGGUGAAGGGCGUCGGAAGACGUCUGGAGGCCCGAACCAUUAAGUGUCACAAGACUUAGGGAUGACCUGUGGGUAGGGGUGAAAAGCCUAUCGAACCCGGAGAUAGCUGGUUCUCCUCGAAAUGCCUUUAGGGGCAGCCUCGUCUCGCAAGAUGGGGGGUAGAGCUACUGUUUGGAUGCGGGGGUCACCUCGACCUGCCAAAUCCUGGCAAACUCCGAAUACCCAUCCUUAGGAGACGGGAGUGAGACGGUGACGGCAAAGCGCCAUCGUCGAAAGGGAAAGAGCCCAGAUCAUUUGCUAAGGUCCCAAAUGUCCGUUCAGUGUAGAAGGAGGUGUAGAUGCAUGGACAACCAGGAGGUUGGCUUAGAAGCAGCCAUCCUUUAAAGAAAGCGUAACAGCUCACUGGUCUAUUGCAUUUAUGCGCCGAAAAUUCAACGGGGCAAAACGGACAACCGAAGCAGUGAAUGUGUGGGGUCACUUUUGGAUUCUGUGGAGCUGGGAUUUAUUUAAGAGCCUCUGUAUCCCACUUCGGUGGGGUGCAUGUUCUCCAGAAAGGCGAGUGGUACGCUAGAAGCGGCGUAACGGAGCGGGAGCACCAGAGCGUGUGUAUUGACUGCACGUGGAACACGUGAAGCGUUGAUCCUGACAGGCAAAUCCGUCAGGAGAGCUGAGCGUGGAUCCCAAAUGUCCGCCUUUGGCGGAUAAGUCUGGCUGGUUCUGUUUCCAAGAAAACCGUCGCUUCGAGAGUUUUGUGAGACCGUACCGCAAACCAACACCGGUGGGGUGGUCGAGUAGACCAAGGCGAACGAGUAAUUACGCGUUAAGGAACUCGGCAAAACAGCGUCCGUAACUUCGGGAUAAGGACUGACCCUGUACCUUCUGGUACAGGGCCCGCAGCAAAAGAGCUCAGGCGACUGUUUACCAAAAACACAGGUCCCUGCAAAGUCGCAAGACAACGUAUAGGGGCUGAUGCCUGCCCAGUGUCAGAAGGUCACGUGAGAGGGUGUAUGCCCUUGAUCUAAGCCCUGAUGAACGGCGGCCGUAACUAUAACGGUCCUAAGGUAGCGAAAUUCCUUGUCGGGUGGUCGAUAAGCAACUUGCCCGAAUCCCGCGUAAGCGGGAGCACUGGGGAAUUCCGUGAAUGGCAUAUUCAGUGCAAAACGUGGCUAUAUGCUGGAACAUCCGGGUAUGGAGCACUACGUACUAAUUAAAAUGGAAAAUUAGUAUGUGAGAAUGUGACUUCUGCGGACAAUCAGCAGGAAACCUUAAGUAAGAGGGAUCCUCAGAGACUAUACGCCAUGCUCCCACAGAGCUCACUUGAGUAAAGUGGGAUGAUGAUAGAGUCCGAUCCCCAUGGCGACAUGGGGUGUAGAGGAGCACUGUCUCGACGCGGAGCUCGGUGAAAUUGCAAUCCCGGUGCAAAUGCCGGGUAGACUACGGAAGGACGAAAAGACCCUAUGAAGCUUUACUAUAGGCUGACAUUGUAUUGUCGGUUUGCAUAUGCAGGAUAGGUGGGAGGCUUUGAAGCGGGGGCGCUAGCCCUCGUGGAGCCACCCUUGAGAUACCACCUCUGCGUUCUGGCAGUACUCACCUCGUCUCUGAAACAGAGCGGGGGACAGUGUUUGCUGGGUAGUUUAACUGGGGCGGUUGCCUCCUAAAAUGUAACGGAGGCGCGCAAUGGUCCACUAGCGCCGGAUGGAAAUCGGCGUCGUCGUGUAAUCGCACAAGUGGGCCUGACUGUGAGGCUUACAGGCCGAGCAGAGACGAAAGUCGGUGAUAGUGAUCCGGCACCUUGACACUAAUUUAUUGGUGUCGUUCCACGUGGGUGGGGUGUCGCUCAACGGAUAAAAGUUACUCUAGGGAUAACAGGCUGAUCGCUCCCAAGCGCCCACAGCGACGGAGCGGUUUGGCACCUCAAUCGGGGUGCUGCAGGAGUGAUCCUGUACCAAAAAUUCGGCUUAUAACGGUGGAACCGUCACGGGCAUUGUGAAAAUGCGUGCCCGCCGGUAAUACCGUGGGAAGUCCCUCGCACAUGCGGGGUGACCCCGUAACGACUGACCCGAAAGGGGAGAGUCCUUAUUACAUUAAGGGCUAACACGCCGAUUCCUGCUCCAUUAAAUCAGGUUUUGGUUGUAAAACUUACAACCUACGAUCGAUUGCAGGAAAAAGAUAUAGUCUGCACCAUAUGAAAGUAUGGAUGAAGUACGAUGUCGGCUCAUCGCAUCCUGGGGCUGAAGAAGGUCCCAAGGGUUUGGCUGUUCGCCAAUCAAAGCGGUACGCGAGCUGGGUUCAGAACGUCGUGAGACAGUUUGGCCUCUAUCCUCCGUGGUCAUUUAGAAACGUGAAGGAAGCUGCUCCUAGUACGAGAGGACCGGAGUGGACGAACCUCUGGUGUACCUGUUGUCGCGUCAGCGGCAAAGCAGGAUAGCUAUGUUCGGCAAGGAUAACCGCUGAAGGCAUCUAAGCGGGAAGCCCCUCCUGAGAUAGCGUUUCUCCAUAAGCCCGCCGGAAGACGACCGGUUAGAUCGGCCACAGGUGUACGCACGGUAACGUGUUAAGCUGAGUGGUACGAACGGGC
RNAcentral lists this ribosomal RNA (3023 nucleotides) under Candidatus Peribacteria bacterium GW2011_GWC2_54_8. RNAcentral describes it as "bacterial LSU rRNA". It matches the Rfam family "Bacterial large subunit ribosomal RNA". The record is from RNAcentral. Lineage: Bacteria; Candidatus Peregrinibacteriota; Candidatus Peribacteria.